CCUACGGGUGGCAGCAGUGGGGAAUAUUGCACAAUGGGGGGAACCCUGAUGCAGCGACGCCGCGUGAGUGAAGAAGUAUUUCGGGAUGUAAAGCUCUAUCAGCAGGGAAGAAAAUGACGGUACCUGACUAAGAAGCCCCGGCUAACGACGUGCCAGCAGCCGCGGGAAUACGGAGGGGGCAAGCGUUAUCCGGAUUUACUGGGUGUAAAGGGAGCGCAGACGGCUGUGCAAGUCUGGAGGGAAAGGCGGGGGCCCAACCCCCGGACUGCUCUGGAAACUGUAAAGCUGGAGUGCAGGAGAGGUAAGCGGAAUUCCUAGUGUAGCGGUGACAUGCGUAGAUAUUAGGAGGACCACCAGUGGCGAAGGCGGCUUACUGGACUGCACCUGACGUUGAGGCUCGACAGCGUGGGGAGCAAACAGGAUUAGAUACCCUUGUAGUC
Molecule: ribosomal RNA, 440 nt
Filed under: uncultured bacterium
Lineage: Bacteria
Description: partial 16S ribosomal RNA
Rfam family: Bacterial small subunit ribosomal RNA
Source: RNAcentral